AGAGUUUGAUCCUGGCUCAGAAUCAACGCUGGCGGCAUGCCUAACACAUGCAAGUCGAACGCGAAAGUGGAGCAAUCCAUGAGUAGAGUGGCGAACGGGUGAGUAACACGUGGGUGACCUACCUUCGAAUGGGGGAUAACGUUCCGAAAGGGACGCUAAUACCGCAUAACAUCCUGCCUUUGAACAGGUGGAGAUCAAAGCUGGGGAUCGCAAGACCUGGCGUUUGAAGAGGGGCCCGCGUCCGAUUAGCUAGUUGGUGAGGUAAUGGCUCACCAAGGCAACGAUCGGUAGCCGGCCUGAGAGGGCGGACGGCCACACUGGGACUGAGACACGGCCCAGACUCCUACGGGAGGCAGCAGUGGGGAAUCGUUCGCAAUGGGCGCAAGCCUGACGACGCAAUGCCGCGUGGAGGAUGAAGGUCUUCGGAUUGUAAACUCCUGUUGCCCGGGACGAACGUCUCCGACCUAACACGUCGGAGAGUGACGGUACCGGGUGAGGAAGCCCCGGCUAACUCUGUGCCAGCAGCCGCGGUAAUACAGAGGGGGCAAGCGUUGUUCGGAAUUACUGGGCGUAAAGGGCGCGUAGGCGGCCUGCUAAGUCGAACGUGAAAUCCCCGGGCUCAACCCGGGAACUGCGUUCGAGACUGGCGGGCUUGAAUUCGGGAGAGGGAUGCGGAAUUCCAGGUGUAGCGGUGAAAUGCGUAGAUAUCUGGAGGAACACCGGUGGCGAAGGCGGCAUCCUGGACCGACAUUGACGCUGAGGCGCGAAAGCCAGGGGAGCAAACGGGAUUAGAUACCCCG
Molecule: ribosomal RNA, 800 nt
Filed under: uncultured bacterium
Lineage: Bacteria
Description: bacterial SSU rRNA
Rfam family: Bacterial small subunit ribosomal RNA
Source: RNAcentral